Molecule: ribosomal RNA, 248 nt
Filed under: uncultured bacterium
Lineage: Bacteria
Description: partial 16S ribosomal RNA
Rfam family: Bacterial small subunit ribosomal RNA
Source: RNAcentral
CCGAUGGCGACCGGCGCACGGGUGAGUAACGCGUAUGCAACCUGCCCGAUACCGGGGUAUAGCCCAUGGAAACGUGGAUUAACACCCCAUAGUACUUUUAUCCUGCCUGGGAUGGGAGUUAAAUGUUCAAGGUAUCGGAUGGGCAUGCGUCCUAUUAGUUAGUUGGCGGGGUAACAGCCCACCAAGACGAUGAUAGGUAGGGGUUCUGAGAGGAAGGUCCCCCACAUUGGAACUGAGACACGGUCCAA